Cynoglossus semilaevis (tongue sole) is the source of this 1176-nucleotide RNA transcript. It is a transcript of the gene named general transcription factor IIF subunit 2, with no coding region annotated. The record is from RefSeq and is a predicted model, not a curated record. The transcript has 11 exons. Lineage: Eukaryota; Metazoa; Chordata; Actinopteri; Pleuronectiformes; Cynoglossidae.
CUUCCUGCAUUGUGAGUUGUGGUUGUGGUUACGUCGGGUCUUUGAUAGCAAGAAGGCAAUAAUGUCCGAAAAAACGGAGGUCAACCUGACAGGAGUCAAACAAAGUCAAGGAGUGUGGUUAGUCAAGGUUCCUAAGUAUUUAUCUCAGCAGUGGGACAAGGCUACAGGAGAAGUUGGAAAGAUCUCCAUUAAUAAAAAACAAGGAAAGACAGAGGUGCAUUUCAGUCUAAAUGCAGAGCUGAGUGCCCCGGCCGCUGCAGAGGAGAAGGAAGGAUUGCCGCAGGUGCCAAGAGAUCAUCCCUUCACCAUGCACUCAGUGGGUGGACAGACCUUGGCUGUUUUCAGCCAGAGUAACACAGAUGGGAUCAGUCUGGAGGGGAUGGUGGUUCACAGAGCCGAGUGCAGACCGGUCGUCAACGACAACUACAUGAAGCUGAAGAAGUUGCAGAUUAAAGAAUCCACCAAACCUCAGCGUUUAUCACAGCAGCUGGAGAGAGCGGUCACUACUGUCUUCAAGCCAGUGGCCAACCACGAUUUCAAUCUGGAGUACGAGAAGAAAAAGAAAUCUGAGGGGAAGAUGGUGCGGGCUGAGCGUCAGGUGGUGUUGGACAUGCUCUUCUCCGCUUUUGAGAAGCACCAGUAUUACAACAUUAAAGACCUCGUGGACAUCACCAAACAACCAGUGACCUACCUCAAAGAAAUCAUGAGGGAAAUCGGGACGUACAACAGCAAAGGAGCUCAUAAGAGCACCUGGGAGCUGAAGCCGGAGUAUCGACACUAUCAGUCGGCCGAGGAAGAGGAGGAGAGGAAGAGCAGCUAGUCACAGCAACGGCCUCCUCGCUGGAGACUCUUCAUCUCCACCUCGGAGUUUUGGAGCUGGUUUAUGUUGGUGAGACACUCGGGUGCCUUUGGUUAAAGUAGCCACUCGAGAUGAAGCGCAUUAUUUUCCUUGGUGUUUUUUGGGACACAAAAUGAAAACUACCUCCACAGUGUUCAGCAAAAAACUGGCAACGUGACCAGAUGAUUCCAGGAGGAAAAUCUGGCCGCAGUCUGUAAUGACCAGCUUCUUUGUGGGCGGGCCUCCUUUGGUGCCCAGCUCCCCCAUCUGCUGCACCACGUCCAUGCCGUCUCGCACCCAGCCAAAAGCCACGUGUUUGAAGUCCAGGUGCUCGGCCG